Molecule: long non-coding RNA, 1332 nt
Organism: Cyprinus carpio (common carp)
Lineage: Eukaryota; Metazoa; Chordata; Actinopteri; Cypriniformes; Cyprinidae
Source: Ensembl
AUGUCUGCAGUGGUUCCAGACUCAGCCAUCGAGCUUACGGGGUUCUCCGUGCACCGCUCGGACAGAACGAAAGAGCUCACAGGGAAAAGCAGAGGUGGGGGCGUUUGUUUCUUUAUCAACAACUCGUGGUGUGAUGAAAGGAACCUACACUCUAUUAAAUCCUUCUGCUCCCCUGAUCUGGAAUUUCAUAUGCUUCUGUGUCGACCAUUCUGGCUACCGAGGGAAUUCACAGCGGUCAUAAUCACCGCUGUUUACAUUCCCCCUCAAGCCAACACAGACCAGGCACUCAAGGAACUGUAUGGGAAUAUAAGUGAGCAGGAAACCGCGUACCCAGAUGCAGCGUUUAUUGUUAUGGGGGACUUUAACAAAGCCAACUUCAGAACAAUAGCUCCGAAAUAUUUUCAACACAUCACCAUCAACACGCGUGGUGAUCGUGUACUGGACCACUGCUACUCUCCUUUCCGGGACGCCUACAAAUCUCUCCCACGCCCACCUUUCGGCAAAUCGGAUCACUCUUCCAUUCUGCUGCUGCCUGCUUAUAGGCAGAAACUGAAACGGGAAGCACCCGCCCUCAGGACAAUUCAGUGCUGGUCGGACCAAUCAGACGCUAUACUACAAGACUGUUUUGAUCACGUGGACUGGGACAUGUUCCGGGCAGCGUCUGAUGACGACAUAGAGGCGUACUCAGAAACUGUAACGUGUUUCAUCAGGAAGUGUGUAGAAGAUGUAGUGCCGACAAAAACAAUCCACAUCUACCCCAACCAAAAACCGUGGAUUAAUAGCGAUGUUCGAGCAGCCUUGUCAGCGCGGACAUCCGCUUUUAAAUCCGGAAACGCUGAUGAUCGCAAACAAGCCAGUUACGAUCUCAGGAAAUCAAUCAAAGCCGCAAAAAGACAAUACAAAAACAAAGUUGAAGAACAAUUUAACACCAACGAUGCAAGAGGCAUGUGGCAGGGAAUCAAUAACAUCACAGACUUUAAAGGGAAUAAACCAGCUACUGUGAACAUUACUGUGAACUCUCUACCGGAUGAGCUUAAUAACUUUUAUGCUCGUUUCGAGGCUCACAACACCGCCCACACAGAGAGCGCUCCCGCAGCUGCUGCAGAAGAUGUGAGUGCACUCUCCGUCUCUGUCGCGGAUGUAACCCGAUCCUUCCGACGGGUGAAUAUCCGCAAGGCUGCGGGUCCUGAUGGCAUCCCAGGCCGUGUGCUCCGAGCAUGCGCAUUCCAACUAGCCGGUUUUUACAAACAUUUUCAACCUCUCUCUCUGUCUGUCUGUGGUUCCCUCGUGCUACAAAAAAUCCAUCAUUGUGCCCAUACCAAAGAAAAAUAA